AAGGUGCUUGCUUCCCCUUCACCUUCUGCCAUGACUGUGAGUUUCCUGAGGCCUCCCCAGCCAUGCCUCCUGCACAGCCUGUGGAACCAAAAACCAACUCACAUAUGAUGAAAUGUGAUGGGGGUGAAAUAACAGCAGUGUGAUUUUCGACCACCAACUUGCCUUGGAAGGGAAUUUGGGGAUGUGCACCGCUGGAAGCCAUGUGUUCUGAUAUGAGAAGAACUUCUUCAGAAGAUGUCUUAAUGCAUAUGGGGAAACUGAGGUCCAGGUAAGUAAAGUAAUUUUCAUAGAAAACCGAGACUAGAACCCAUGUUACUCAAUCCCCAGUUAAGACUGAGUUCAUAACACCAUACGGCCAUGCAGAUUAAGUCCUGAACUCUGUCUAUGCAAAAAACUGUGCUUCGUCACUGAGACUGAAAGACCCUCCUCAAAAGGUUUACUCUGUACACCAAAGGGGGGGAAAAAUUUUGGCAUUUUAUAGGCUAAAUCUAGCUUGCAGAUGUCGUUGAGUUUUUUUUUUUUUUUUUUUUCCUGGUUUGUCAAGUGUUUUUGAAAAAUUUGAACUAGUCGAUAUAAUUUAAAAAUCAGGAGUUUUCACAUGCAAAUCCAGAUUUCUGGCUCCCCUUCAAAAAGAGUCCAAGAUCAGGACACACUGGAACCACUUUCUCACAUGGCAGCUAUUGGUUAGAGCAGGUAGUAUGCUGAGCCAGAUCAUACCGGCUCAUAAGAGCCAAUGAUAAAAUAUUCAGAAAUGUUGUGGGCCACGUGUUAAAUGGUAGCUUGAAAUCAGCCGCAGGAUCAUUUACAGCAGCCAUGUUACCAUGGAAACAUGGACAAUGGAAACAUUGGUCCAUUGUCCAUCUGCUCCUGCUCCACAUUGGUCAAGGACGACGCCACCAGCAAAAUUCUCUUGUUCUUCUAGAUUACACAUACAUGAGUUGUCCUGGAAAAUCUCAAGUCAAAGAAGCUGCACUGCAGGAAAUCAAUAUGGUGCAGGCCCCAGGCAAGGCAUCACUGACUAUACUUGCAAGAAACAAAUGCCUGCAAAAAUCAGGACAAGAUGAUUUUGAAGCUGUGCAAAACAGACAUGGCACAGGAGACACAGCAAUAACUAAGUAUGUACAACAAAUCAAAGGAUGGAGCCUCAAACUGAAGCCAAGUCUACCAUAUCUUAUCAAUUUACCCAAUACCAUUGUCUCUCUCUGUAAAGGUUACCCUUUUAUGCACAUAAAUGUGAAUUAGAACAUCUCUGCCCUGCUCCUUUCAGCAGUACAGCUCUGCAAUGACACACGCUGCCAUCCAUUUCACUGGAACAUUUGCCAUAAAGUUGCUUUAAAAGACAUUCUCUUACAAUACUGUCAAUGGCCCUUGCAUUAAAAAUGAGAAAAAUAUGGAAACAUGCAUUAAAAUAUUCAGAAAUAAAUGGCUUUUUUAUUACAUAAAAGCUC
Molecule: long non-coding RNA, 1448 nt
Filed under: Papio anubis (olive baboon)
Lineage: Eukaryota; Metazoa; Chordata; Mammalia; Primates; Cercopithecidae
Description: lncRNA (ENSPANG00000039606.1)
Source: RNAcentral